AUGAUAUUUGAGUAUAUUUUCUUCACCCGAACAUUCUGAGACUUUUUCUACUGAUUUUGGGUGGUUUCUCGGUGACCUAUCGGCUUCUAGGGUUUCUGGUGGUUUAACCUUGGGUUCUAUUGCUUUCCGGUGGCUCGAUUCUCACUCAAUGGAUGUUUUGGGUGCCUCUCCGACAUUACUGACCACAUUUCCAGUAAGGAUUUCGAAGGUUACACCUAGGGUUUUAUACCUAGGGUUUUCUCUGUUGUUUGAAGGCCGAUCUUCUCCG
This 268-nucleotide long non-coding RNA is filed under the name Nicotiana benthamiana. RNAcentral describes it as "long non-coding RNA (NBEN_LNC017895)". Lineage: Eukaryota; Viridiplantae; Streptophyta; Magnoliopsida; Solanales; Solanaceae. The record is from RNAcentral.